Molecule: ribosomal RNA, 253 nt
Filed under: uncultured bacterium
Lineage: Bacteria
Description: partial 16S ribosomal RNA
Rfam family: Bacterial small subunit ribosomal RNA
Source: RNAcentral
UACGUAGGGUGCAAGCGUUGUCCGGAUUUAUUGGGUUUAAAGGGUGCGUAGGCGGCCCUGUAAGUCAGUGGUGAAAUACUCUAGCUUAACUAGAGGGGUGCCAAUGAUACUGCAGGGCUUGAGUACAGAUGAGGUAGGCGGAAUUGACGGUGUAGCGGUGAAAUGCAUAGAUAUCGUCAAGAACACCGAUAGUGAAGACAGCUAACUAAACUUUUACUGACGCUGAGGCACGAAAGUGUGGGGAUCAAACAGG